This 677-nucleotide ribosomal RNA is filed under the name Laccophilus flaveolus. RNAcentral's name for it is "eukaryotic LSU rRNA". It matches the Rfam family "Eukaryotic large subunit ribosomal RNA", at positions 663 to 1265 of the family's 3401-position model. The record is from RNAcentral. Lineage: Eukaryota; Metazoa; Arthropoda; Insecta; Coleoptera; Dytiscidae.
GGACCAAGGAGUCUAGCAUGUGCGCGAGUCAUUGGGAAGCGAGACUAAACCUAAAGGCGCAGUGAAAGCGAAGGUGUCGUCUUCGACACCGUGGGAGGACGGGCGGCGGCCGCUUCGCGGCGUACGCCGCCCCGCACUCCCGGGGCGUCUCGCACUCAUCGCGAGGCGAGGCGCACCGCGAGCGUACACGCUGGGACCCGAAAGAUGGUGAACUAUGCCUGGUCAGGACGAAGUCAGGGGAAACCCUGAUGGAGGUCCGUAGCGAUUCUGACGUGCAAAUCGAUCGUCGGAACUGGGUAUAGGGGCGAAAGACUAAUCGAACCAUCUAGUAGCUGGUUCCCUCCGAAGUUUCCCUCAGGAUAGCUGGCGCUCGGGCGAAAAAUUUAUUCUCGAAUUAAACGCACGAGUCUCAUCCGGUAAAGCGAAUGAUUAGAGGCAUUGGGGUCGAAACGGCCUCAACCUAUUCUCAAACUUUAAAUGGGUGAGAUCUCCGGCUUGCUUGAACCGUGAAGCCGGAGAUCGGAUCAACGGGCGCCAAGUGGGCCACUUUUGGUAAGCAGAACUGGCGCUGUGGGAUGAACCAAACGUCGAGUUAAAGCGCCAAAAUCGACGCUUAUGGGACACCAUGAAAGGCGUUGGUAACUUAAGACAGCAGGACGGUGGCCAUGGAAGUCGGA